AAGGAAGGAGGGGAUGAGAAAAGAAUUAAAUUAUUAUGUUUUUAUGUUUGAUAAGAUCUUCGGUCUUAUGCCUACGUACCAACAUAGAAAUGAGGGGUCAAAACCUCGUAGUUCGUGGUAAAAAUCUCAAAGAAAUUGGUGAAUUGAUUUUAACAAAAGUUUAACAAGAAAGGCAUAAAAUGCAGAAUAUUUGAAUGGGGUUGUUA
This 206-nucleotide long non-coding RNA is filed under the name Lathyrus oleraceus (garden pea). RNAcentral describes it as "Pisum sativum (pea) long non-coding RNA (PSAT_LNC005998)". Lineage: Eukaryota; Viridiplantae; Streptophyta; Magnoliopsida; Fabales; Fabaceae. The record is from RNAcentral.